GGAAGCAAAAGUCGUAACAAGGUUUCCGUAGGUGAACCUGCGGAAGGAUCAUUCAUAAUAAGUGUUUUAUGGCACUUUUUUAAAUCCAUAUCCACCUUGUGUGCAAUGUCAGGGUUGAUUUUUCUCUCGAGAGGAUCAACCCCAAACAUCAACUAUAUCUCAACUCUUUGUCUGAAUAAUAUUAUGAAUAAAACAAUUCAAAAUACAACUUUCAACAACGGAUCCCUUGGCUCUC
Molecule: unclassified non-coding RNA, 235 nt
Filed under: plant metagenome
Description: partial contains small subunit ribosomal RNA and internal transcribed spacer 1
Rfam family: Eukaryotic small subunit ribosomal RNA (bases 1-54)
Source: RNAcentral